RNAcentral lists this ribosomal RNA (253 nucleotides) under uncultured bacterium. RNAcentral describes it as "partial 16S ribosomal RNA". It matches the Rfam family "Bacterial small subunit ribosomal RNA", at positions 524 to 776 of the family's 1533-position model. The record is from RNAcentral.
UACGUAGGGGGCAAGCGUUGUUCGGAAUUACUGGGCGUAAAGAGUGUGUAGGCGGUGCUCUAAGUCUGUCGUGAAAUCUCCCGGCUUAACUGGGAGGGUGCGGCGGAUGCUAUUGUGCUAGAGGGUGGGAGAGGUAAGCGGAAUUCCUGGUGUAGCGGUGAAAUGCGUAGAUAUCAGGAGGAACACCUGCGGUGUAGACAGCUUACUGGACCACUUCUGACGCUGAGACACGAAAGCGUGGGUAGCAAACAGG